This 238-nucleotide long non-coding RNA is filed under the name Brassica napus (rape). RNAcentral's name for it is "long non-coding RNA (BNAP_LNC022319)". The record is from RNAcentral. Lineage: Eukaryota; Viridiplantae; Streptophyta; Magnoliopsida; Brassicales; Brassicaceae.
ACUCAUGGGUCUAGGAAUUUGACUUCAAAUGACUAAGAUCCAAUCUAGAUAGGUAAGGUAUCAAUCAACAUAUUUCCUUAAGUCUAGACAACAAUCCUAAACAAGUUCUUUGUCAAGAUAAAUUCUCAUUUAUUCUCAUUGAUCAAACAUCAAAUCAAAUGUCUUUGGUUUGUGUCAUUCAAUCAAUCAUUAAAAACAUGUCCAUUGACUAUCUAAGCUUUCCUAACAUCAAAUGUCU